This 220-nucleotide long non-coding RNA is filed under the name Elaeis guineensis (African oil palm). Its description in RNAcentral is "long non-coding RNA (EGUI_LNC042487)". Lineage: Eukaryota; Viridiplantae; Streptophyta; Magnoliopsida; Arecales; Arecaceae. The record is from RNAcentral.
UCAGUGACACCUAGCAGUAUAUAGUGGUAACUCAAUAUAACCGAAAAGAAUCUCAAAGUGUAGUUAACAUGUGAUUCAGUCCCUCUAUCAUGAGUCUUGACUAGAUGGCAGGUUAUGGAUAAAUCAUCAAACUUCAACAUCAAUCAUAUGAUAGAUUCGAUCAGCUCAAGUUUAAUUAUGAUUUCUAUGAAAACUCUUUUCCAUCAAUCAUACUACUGUG